Alnus glutinosa is the source of this 1009-nucleotide long non-coding RNA. RefSeq lists it as uncharacterized. Lineage: Eukaryota; Viridiplantae; Streptophyta; Magnoliopsida; Fagales; Betulaceae. The record is from RefSeq and is a predicted model, not a curated record. The transcript has 3 exons.
UAAUUGGCAGAGUUUCAGUAUUGUUCUCAAAGGAAAUUAAAGUGAUGAAGAUGGUGAAGAGAUGUGUUUUGCUGGUUCUUGAGCACAGGGUGCUCUAGUCUUCUAUCUUUGGACAAGGAUCCUCUCCAUUUGCCUUGAAAUGGAGAGGAGUCAUUUUAUGGUCAAAACUUUUAAAUGAUGUGACAACAUAUUCACCACGUGACAUCAUAUCUGUGAAAUAAAAUCUUGACUAUGAAAUGGCUCCUUUCCAUUUCACUUAAAAUGGGGAGGAUCCAAUUCCUCUAUCUCUGCACCCAAGUGAAAAGGUUUUAUGUGCAUUUAUGUGAAGCUCACCACAUAGUGGCAAAUAGAUGGAUCUGCUGAGCUAUCAAUGCAAAGAAGGAUGAUUGAGGCAACAUAUCCUGUCCACGGAUGAAGGGAGCUAGAGGUGAUAUGAAAGCAUUAGAGCUAUGACUACGUGGUUGGCUACAGGGCAAUACAAUUGAAUCUAUAAUCUGAAGACUCAAGUCAUCUGCUCUGAUCGAGAUUGGCGAUCUGCCAGGCAUUUACCCCACAGGUGCCUUAAGACGGGAACAAAAAAGAUUGUUGAGUCUGCGUUUCAAUGGUAAUCAGCCUCAUAACAUAUGCUUGCCCACUAACCAAGAGUGGAAGAGGUACCAUACGCACCAGUUUCGUCUGAUUUUGUUCCUUUUGAUUGGAAACAAAUGCGUUUCUUCAUAUGGAAGCUUUUUUGUUUGUUGUAUUUCUAGUCAAAUUGCUUGGUUAUGGUCACAUGCAUUUGCAUGCAGAAUCGAACAAAUCUUGUAACUGUCAUAAAACGAGUUACAGAACUGAUCUGUAGUGUCAAAAAGGUCUGGAAGCUGAGCUCCUUUAGAGGUAUUACAAAUGAGGAUCUCAGUUUAUAUUCCUAAUUAAAUUUUACAGAACUGUUUGUAAAUUGAUGUAUAUUGAUGUAUGCUUAAGUGCCUAAUAUUAUCUUCAUCACUUUUAGCUCUUUUUUUUCAAUUAA